Molecule: ribosomal RNA, 528 nt
Filed under: Salmonella enterica subsp. enterica serovar Abony
Lineage: Bacteria; Pseudomonadati; Pseudomonadota; Gammaproteobacteria; Enterobacterales; Enterobacteriaceae
Description: partial 23S ribosomal RNA
Rfam family: Bacterial large subunit ribosomal RNA
Source: RNAcentral
AAUCCAUAGGUUAAUGAGGCGAACCGGGGGAACUGAAACAUCUAAGUACCCCGAGGAAAAGAAAUCAACCGAGAUUCCCCCAGUAGCGGCGAGCGAACGGGGAGGAGCCCAGAGCCUGAAUCAGCAUGUGUGUUAGUGGAAGCGUCUGGAAAGGCGCGCGAUACAGGGUGACAGCCCCGUACACAAAAGCGCAUGUGCUGUGAGCUCGAUGAGUAGGGCGGGACACGUGGUAUCCUGUCUGAAUAUGGGGGGACCAUCCUCCAAGGCUAAAUACUCCUGACUGACCGAUAGUGAACCAGUACCGUGAGGGAAAGGCGAAAAGAACCCCGGCGAGGGGAGUGAAAAAGAACCUGAAACCGUGUACGUACAAGCAGUGGGAGCACCCUUUGGGGUGUGACUGCGUACCUUUUGUAUAAUGGGUCAGCGACUUAUAUUCUGUAGCAAGGUUAACCGUAUAGGGGAGCCGGAGGGAAACCGAGUCUUAACCGGGCGUUAAGUUGCAGGGUAUAGACCCGAAACCCGGUGAUC